AUAGAGACAGCCAGAAAUCAAGAGGGAAGGGGGAGUUUUCUUGUUUUUUUUUUUUUUUAAGGUUCCAGUCUAUGGAAGAAAACUAUCUCUUUUAAGUAGAGAUAGUUACAUAUUUUUCCUUUCUAGGCUGUGAUUUUAAGGAUGUGUCAGUAUUGGGUAUAAGGAUAUCAUUGUUAGCUAGAUUCAGUUUUAUAAUCAUGAAUCCUCUUGAGUGCUAGUAGAGAUUUUAGUCCUGAUUUUCCCUAAAACAUGAGACCUGAUAAUUAUAGGUUUAGAGAAAGUGGAGAAGCCACCCUUUUUAAGGAAGAAACACUGGAAAUCUCUGCUAAUACAAAAAUAUUUAAGUGUGUAUAUAGAAGGUGCUCAACAAAUGUAUUGAGUUGAAUGAGUGGGAAAAUCGGGAGAGUCAAAAGUGAGCAGGAACUCUCCAUUUUUAAUUUUGUCAAAAAUCACACUCAGUUUUUAAAUAAGGUCUUUCUCAGCUUUGGGUUGCAAACUGGCAAGCCUGAAGAAAGCAACUUCUCUGACAAGAAAGUAGAUAUUUUAUACCAGAUGUUGGCAAGCCAAGUAGCCUGCAAACCGAGUUUGGCUCAUUUGGUCUUUUGUAUGGUGUAAUAGUGGUUUUUACAUAUUUUAAAGGGUUAUAAAAGAGACUAUAAGACCAUGUAACUUCUAAAACACAAAAUAUAAGUUCUUUUGGAGAAAAAAGUUUGCCAACCUCUGUUUUAUAUCAUUAACAAUGAGAUUAACAAUAAUGCUUACCUUUGUUUAGGAGGUAAAAACAAGUAUGGUUAAGGAAAAGAUGUUACCUAUAUACACAUAACCAUGACAUUGCAAAAAAAAAAAAUUUAAAAACCCACCUUUUUAAAAAAUAAACCUUAUUUAAAUUACUGA
Long non-coding RNA from Erinaceus europaeus (western European hedgehog), 894 nucleotides. RefSeq lists it as uncharacterized. The record is from RefSeq and is a predicted model, not a curated record. NCBI's taxonomy places the organism in Eukaryota, Metazoa, Chordata, Mammalia, Eulipotyphla, Erinaceidae. The transcript is spliced from 2 exons.